GCGCAGCAGGCGAGAAACCUCUGCAAUAGGCGAAAGCUUGACAGGGUUACUCUGAGUGACGUCCGUUAAGGACGUCUUUUGGCACCUCUAAAAAUGGUGCAGAAUAAGGGGUGGGCAAGUCUGGUGUCAGCCGCCGCGGUAAUACCAGCACCCCGAGUGGUCGGGACGAUUAUUGGGCCUAAAGCAUCCGUAGCCGGUUCUGCAAGUCUUCCGUUAAAUCCACCUGCUCAACAGAUGGGCCGCGGAGGAUACUACAGGGCUAGGAGGCGGGAGAGGCAAGCGGUACUCAGUGGGUAGGGGUAAAAUCCUCUGAUCCACUGAAGACCACCAGUGGCGAAGGCGGCUUGCCAGAACGCGCUCGACGGUGAGGGAUGAAAGCUGGGGGAGCAAACCGGAUUAGAUACCCGUGUAGUCC
This 415-nucleotide ribosomal RNA is filed under the name uncultured archaeon. Its description in RNAcentral is "bacterial SSU rRNA". It matches the Rfam family "Archaeal small subunit ribosomal RNA", at positions 330 to 747 of the family's 1478-position model. The record is from RNAcentral.